GGCUGGUCUGAUGGUAGCGGGUUAUCCGAACUUACUAACAUUAGUGUCACUAAAGUUGGUAUACAAUCCUCCACCACUAAAUUUGACUGGCUUUAA
This 96-nucleotide Y RNA is filed under the name Propithecus coquereli (Coquerel's sifaka). RNAcentral's name for it is "Y RNA (ENSPCOG00000006059.1)". It matches the Rfam family "Y RNA". Rfam says of the family: Y RNAs are components of the Ro ribonucleoprotein particle (Ro RNP), in association with Ro60 and La proteins. The Y RNAs and Ro60 and La proteins are well conserved, but the function of the Ro RNP is not known. In humans the RNA component can be one of four small RNAs -- hY1, hY3, hY4 and hY5. Lineage: Eukaryota; Metazoa; Chordata; Mammalia; Primates; Indriidae. The record is from Rfam by way of RNAcentral.